CAUAGCGACUAUCGUGGCAUAUCAAUAAGCGGAGGAAAAGAAACUAACAAGGAUUCCCUAGUAACGGCGAGUGAAGCGGGAAGAGCUCAAAUUUGAAAUCUUAAAGGUUUUCCCUUGACGAAUUGUAGUUUAAAGAAGUGUUUUCUGUUGGAGUUUUCGGUAAAAGUUCUUUGGAAUAGGACAUCAUAGAGGGUGAGAAUCCCGUAUUUGACCAGUUACUUUCCAGCUGUGUGAUACACCUUCAAAGAGUCGGAUUGUUUGGGAAUGCAGUCCAAAAUGGGUGGUAAAUUUCAUCUAAAGCUAAAUAUUGGCGAGAGACCGAUAGCGAACAAGUACCGUGAGGGAAAAGAUGAAAAGAACUUUGAAAAGAGAGUUAAACAGUACGUGAAAUUGUCAAAAGGGAAGCGUUUGACACCAGUGUUGUUUAGUUGAAAAUCAAUUCAAUAAUUUUUGAUUUUGAGUAGUAUUGACUUCAUCAGCUUGCUGCUCUCUUUUCCGAAAUUAUUGAAUGCACUUUUCAGUUAACAAGUCAACAUCAGUUUCUUUUGUUGUAAAAGGGUAAGAGGAAGGUGGCUUACGCUUCGGCGUAAGUGUUUAUAGCCUUUUACCUCUGCAAUCGGAGAGAUUGAGGACAGCAGCGUAGACUCCUUCGGGGUUAGAUGCACUUGUGCUAAGCUAUAGCCUUGUAUAGACAACUUGUUGACUAUGCUCAGUCAUGUAGCUUACUCGCUUGUGCUAUUUUACCUACGCUUAGGAUGUUGACGCGCGUGUGUGCGUG
RNAcentral lists this ribosomal RNA (778 nucleotides) under uncultured Neocallimastigales. RNAcentral describes it as "partial large subunit ribosomal RNA". It matches the Rfam family "Eukaryotic large subunit ribosomal RNA", at positions 22 to 637 of the family's 3401-position model. The record is from RNAcentral. Lineage: Eukaryota; Fungi; Neocallimastigomycota; Neocallimastigomycetes; Neocallimastigales.